UUCGUAGGCGGUGUGGCAAGUCGGGAGUGAAAUCUCUGGGCUCAACCCAGAGGCUGCUUCCGAAACUGCUGUGCUUGAGUGUGAGAGAGGCGCGUGGAAUUGCAGGUGUAGCGGUGAAAUGCGUAGAUAUCUGCAGGAACACCCGUGGCGAAAGCGGCGCGCUGGAUCACUACUGACGCUGAGGAACGAAAGCUAGGGGAGCAAACAGGAUUAGAUACCCUGGUAGUCCUAGCCCUAAACGAUCAGGACUUGGGGUGCCGCCCGUUCGGGCGUCGUCCCGGAGCUAACGCGUUAAGUCCUGCACCUGGGGAGUACGGUCGCAAGACUGAA
RNAcentral lists this ribosomal RNA (330 nucleotides) under uncultured bacterium. Its description in RNAcentral is "bacterial SSU rRNA". It matches the Rfam family "Bacterial small subunit ribosomal RNA", at positions 568 to 898 of the family's 1533-position model. The record is from RNAcentral.